RNA transcript from Cygnus olor (mute swan), 3327 nucleotides. It is a transcript of the gene named methenyltetrahydrofolate synthetase domain containing, with no coding region annotated. The record is from RefSeq and is a predicted model, not a curated record. Lineage: Eukaryota; Metazoa; Chordata; Aves; Anseriformes; Anatidae. The transcript has 10 exons.
CGGAGCCAAGCCCGGGCCGGAAGCCCCACCCCUGGGCGGCUCUCGCCGCCAUGCAGGGGGGCGCGGGGCCGCGCGCGGGGACAUCCAAGGGCGGCGUCCGGGAGCUGGUGUGGGGCUACCUGGAGAGCAGCGGCCUGGCGGAGAGACCCCGGCCCGUGCACGGCCGCAUCCCCAACUUCAAGGGGUCCCACCAGGCUUGCUGCUCUAUUAAAGAGCUCGAUGCGUUCAGCAGAGCAAGUGUGAUCAAAGUGGAUCCUGAUAAACCUCUGGAAGGUGUUCGGCUAGCCGCGCUGCAGGCAAGGAAGACUUUGUUGGUUCCCACCCCCCGUCUGAGAAGUGGCCUGUUCAAUCAGAUUGUUCCACCCUCAGGUGCCACCAAGGAGAUCCUGCGGAUAUGUGCUACUUCUCAAGGUAUAAAAGAAUACAGUGUGCCUGUAGGUCUUGAUGGGAAAGUACGAGUGGACUUGGUUGUUGUAGGAUCAGUGGCUGUCUCUGAAAAAGGCUGGAGAAUUGGAAAAGGUGAAGGUUAUGCAGACAUGGAAUACGCGAUGAUGGUGUCAAUGGGAGCAGUGAAGGAGGAGACACCUGUAGUUACUAUUGUGCAUGACUGCCAGGUGCUCGACAUAGCAGAAGAGCUUCUUGAUGAUCAUGAUUUAACCGUUGAUUAUAUACUCACACCAACAAGAACUAUCAAGACUAAUUGCAAACGACCAAAACCCCAGGGAAUAAUAUGGCAUAAGGUCAGCUAUGAGAUGCUGGCAAAAAUCCCCAUCCUAAAGAGUCUUCGAUACAAAGAGAAACAGACAGGCAAGGAUGUUACCCUCCAAGACGAACAUCCAGACUUGGCAAACGCCAGCAAGUCAGCAGCGUUAAAUGAGAAGGCAAUGCCUGGAAAUACAAGACCGCAGGCUGCAAUGGGCUCGGCUCAAAUGGGACAACAUUCUUCAUUCCUGAAAAACAAGCUGAAUUUUGGCUGAACCAUCCUUUCUAAACAGAAGCAGUUUUGCCAUUGAUGCUGGGCACAUAGUCAAAAAACCACAACAUAUAGUUCCAGGUCAGCUGACCUCCAAAGGUAAUGAAAAAGAGGCAUUCAUACCGGUUUUCUGUCUUCUCCUAGUAAAAUCUUACAUUAUGCCAGGGGAGUUACGUUUGUGGUUCCAGAGCCUGAGCUGUGCUAGAUCUAUAUCCAUGUAGCCAACCUCUGUAAUUAUCUUCCAGCCUGUCACUUUUUUCAGUCUUAUGUUUUGUGAGGUCACAUUUCACAGCAAUACAUAAUAACCUGUUACUUUCCCAAAAGGCAAUUAACAGUCCAAACCACGCUGCUGGGAAGAUAUUAACUAGACAGAUAUAUAACUGCAGUUAGGCUCUGAAAAGAAAAAUAAUUACUAUACGCUUAAGAUAACGGACAAUUCAUUAGCAUUUCGAAUGAACUGGAAUAAUGUUGAUGCUGUGAUAAUAUCCAAUUUAAGUAGUCCUUUUUGAUCCAGGUUGUUAAUAAAUGGCAAGGUCCUCUAGGCCUUGGCAUCGUAAAGUCAUUAAAGCUUGUUUUUAAUUCAAGGUAGCAGCUGCUCCAGGUCGGAGUUUGGCAGCCCACUGCAAACCCAUCUGUAUCAGCAGCUUCAGCAAAUCAGUAGUAACGUGUGUGGGUACAAGUUCAUUUGUCAUCUCUGCAUCAAGAGCAACAUCAUGCAGGAGCGAAUUAGUACAGGCAGCUGCUGAAAAUAGAACCUGAAGCUACAGAAGGCUCACCAGGGUUCAGAGCCUCUGCGGAGUGUUUAGUAGUAAGAGGUUAUAUGAAGGCAGAGCAGUAGUCAUCAGAAAUCAGGUGUGGCUUCCCCACACUCCUGCAGGUUUAGGGUGGGUGCUUUACUUUCACCAGGGUUUUCUGUUGGCAAAUAUGACUGAAGAACGUAACCUCUCCCUUUUCGAGAUGAAAAAUCGGAACAAGUCCUAGCGCAUUUAUGGAUUGAUAUAGUAUUCCCACAGUGAGAACCGGAAGUGAUGUUGUAGGAACUUAAGCAUUUACAUUUCGAAAAGAAAAAAAAAAGGCAGCAUGACUUGCAGCAAAGCUGUUCUACAAGCUAACCUGUGAGGUACACCACUGUAUAGCUCGUACUGUCUGAAAUGCACCAUAUAUUAACACAUUCAGUAGGAGUUUGACCUUGCACAUGCUGAAGUCAAUGUGAUUUCUGUCUUGGCCAGCAAGAGAAGCAGUGACAAGGACGAUGCCCUUACUGCCGCUUGGGAAGUUGAUCAUCUUUAGCUAAGAGACAUUUCAAUGCAAGAUGCUAAAUUGCUGUUUAAUUAAGUAAUGCAAGACUGCCCAAGGCACACGCCUACAUGGCUUUCUGGCAUCUCUAGCUGUAUGAUGUGGAUUUUUUCUUGCAGGCUGACCAAAAUUCUACUUGGGGAGACAGCAGAUUUUGAAGAAAAAGUGAAUGGGGCAGUUUGCAUCUCUUAGAUCUAUUGUUUCAGGCUCUCUGCAUGGUCAGGAAGACAUCAGUUAUACAUGAGUCACUUCUGACUUUUCUCUGAAUCCACAAAACUGAAAUGUAAUGCUUUUUAGUGAAUCCUUAGACUCUGAUCUCAUAAUGAAACUCGAGGAACUGAAGCCUGCUUAUGUUUCACUUUGGCCCAGAUCAGGCCUACGCAAGAUAUUUUAGCAACAAUCAAACCACAAAGUCCGUGCCCUGAAGAAUUUACAGUCUGAAUUAACAAGCUUUAAAGAUGAGAACUUUUACUAAAAUAAUAACUCUUCAUUUUCUGCUGGUUGUAUUUGUGGCCCUGGUGCUAGCACCUAGGAUGAACUUGGCUACAUCAUGGAUAGGGUUUGUGCCUAAUCUCAGGUGGAUAUUGGCCCCUACAGUCCCUCUUUAUUGCUGUGACUGAAGCGCUAGUCUAGGACUGCAGAAGCCUCAGUGCUUCAACCCUGUUCUCUGUAAUUGCCUUUUGGUGACCGCUCAUGCCCAGAACAAUGGAGAGAAUGUACUUCUAAGCACUUAACCCCCAGUCUCCUUCUGUAUGAAUGGUGGGAUAUCCUUGCUUUUUACGACUCUCAUGAUAAAAACAUUUACAAUGAGAAAGAAGUGCCUGGGUGCUGAAGAAAAAAAGAGGUCUAAAAUGCCUGUGAUAGAUGUGCAGUCUGCAUUUAAUAGGAAAUGAAGUGAUCCCUAACACAGACUUGAUGUUGGUUCACUUGCAGCAGCACAAGAGCCUGUGUUUCUCUGCUGUGUGAUGAGAAGAAAAGUUCAGCAGUACAAUGGGAAAUACUUUACUGAGCCAACUUUGUUCAGAAGUAAUUAAAAAUGAGGUCUUUCUAUUCUCUGU